This 376-nucleotide ribosomal RNA is filed under the name uncultured Legionella sp. Its description in RNAcentral is "bacterial SSU rRNA". It matches the Rfam family "Bacterial small subunit ribosomal RNA", at positions 283 to 651 of the family's 1533-position model. Lineage: Bacteria; Pseudomonadati; Pseudomonadota; Gammaproteobacteria; Legionellales; Legionellaceae. The record is from RNAcentral.
GUAGCUGGUCUGAGAGGAUGACCAGCCACACUGGAACUGAGACACGGUCCAGACUCCUACGGGAGGCAGCAGUGGGGAAUAUUGGACAAUGGGGGCAACCCUGAUCCAGCAAUGCCGCGUGUGUGAAGAAGGCCUGAGGGUUGUAAAGCACUUUCAGUGGGGAGGAGGAUUGUUUGGUUAAGAGCUGAAUAAUUGGACGUUACCCACAGAAGAAGCACCGGCUAACUCCGUGCCAGCAGCCGCGGUAAUACGGAGGGUGCGAGCGUUAAUCGGAAUUACUGGGCGUAAAGGGUGCGUAGGUGGUUGAAUAAGUUAUCUGUGAAAGCCCCGGGCUUAACCUGGGAAGGUCAGAUAAGACUGUUCGACUCGAGUAURG